ACGUGUACUCUUCCGACUCUUGUCUCCUCCCAGACAUUAGCCGCUCUCACAUUUAAUUCUGCAUUUCUCUCUUGCUGGACAAGAGUGAAUUCCAGACUCAAAAUCUGUAACAAUUUGGAAUAUAUUUUCAUUCUCUCUUGCUCACUCUUAUGUGCUUACCCGUGGUGGGUUUGUUUGUUUUCCUGAUCCACUUUUAAGUUAAC
Herpailurus yagouaroundi (jaguarundi) is the source of this 203-nucleotide long non-coding RNA. RefSeq lists it as uncharacterized. The record is from RefSeq and is a predicted model, not a curated record. NCBI's taxonomy places the organism in Eukaryota, Metazoa, Chordata, Mammalia, Carnivora, Felidae. The transcript is spliced from 3 exons.